RNAcentral lists this ribosomal RNA (256 nucleotides) under uncultured bacterium. RNAcentral describes it as "partial 16S ribosomal RNA". It matches the Rfam family "Bacterial small subunit ribosomal RNA", at positions 15 to 259 of the family's 1533-position model. The record is from RNAcentral.
GAUCCUGGCUCAGGAUGAACGCUAGCUACAGGCUUAACACAUGCAAGUCGAGGGGCAUCAGUUUGGUUUGCUUGCAAACCAAAGCUGGCGACCGGCGCACGGGUGAGUAACACGUAUCCAACCUGCCUCAUACUCGGGGGAUAGCCUUUCGAAAGAAAGAUUAAUAUCCGAUAGCAUAUAUUUCCCGCAUGGGUUUUAUAUUAAAGAAAUUCGGUAUGAGAUGGGGAGUGCGUUCCAUUAGUUUGUUUGGGGGGGG